AGGAAGGAGAUGGGUUCCUUCCACUUGCUCCGAGGAGUCCUGUUUCUGGCAAACACAAAGAUUCUAAGAAAUGGUCUCCUUUUGGUCACAUCUAGGCAGUAAGAGGACAAAUGAAGAGAGGCACCAGAAGCCAAGACUCCAGCAGAGGACUUGCUGGGGAUAGUGGAGUUGCCAGAAGUUACCAGAAGAUGAUGAUUGGAGCUCCGGUUGCCAUCUUGGACCAUGAGGAUGAAGAAUGUGGAGGGGUGAGCUGAAAAGAACUUGGAUUCUUCAUGACCUUGUGGUGCCACUCUGCUAGUCCUGGAUUUCUUGCAUCUAGACUUCAUUUACAUGUGAGUAAAAUAAA
Molecule: long non-coding RNA, 346 nt
Organism: Panthera uncia (snow leopard)
Lineage: Eukaryota; Metazoa; Chordata; Mammalia; Carnivora; Felidae
Exons: 3
Source: RefSeq, a predicted model, not a curated record